Molecule: ribosomal RNA, 440 nt
Filed under: uncultured bacterium
Lineage: Bacteria
Description: partial 16S ribosomal RNA
Rfam family: Bacterial small subunit ribosomal RNA
Source: RNAcentral
CCUACGGGAGGCAGCAGUGGGGGAUAUUGCACAAUGGGGGGAACCCUGAUGCAGCGACGCCGCGUGGGUGAAGAAGCGCCUCGGCGCGUAAAGCCCUGUCAGCAGGGAAGAAAAUGACGGUACCUGAAAAAGAAGCCCCGGCUAACUACGUGCCAGCAGCCGCGGUAAUACGUAGGGGGCAAGCGUUAUCCGGAUUUACUGGGUGUAAAGGGGGCGCAGACGGCGAUGCAAGCCAGGAGUGAAAGCCCGGGGCCCAACCCCGGGACUGCUCUUGGAACUGCGUGGCUGGAGUGCGGGAGGGGCAGGCGGAAUUCCUGGUGUAGCGGUGAAAUGCGUAGAUAUCAGGAGGAACACCGGUGGCGAACGCGGCCUGCUGGACUGCAACUGACGUUGAGGCCCGAAAGCGUGGGGAGCAAACAGGAUUAGAUACCCGGGUAGUC